RNAcentral lists this ribosomal RNA (496 nucleotides) under uncultured bacterium. RNAcentral describes it as "bacterial SSU rRNA". It matches the Rfam family "Bacterial small subunit ribosomal RNA", at positions 30 to 521 of the family's 1533-position model. The record is from RNAcentral.
AUUGAACGCUGGCGGUAUGCUUAACACAUGCAAGUCGAACGGUAACAGGCCUAGCUUGCUAGGUGCUGACGAGUGGCGGACGGGUGAGUAACGCGUGGGAAUCUGCCUUAUUGUGGGGGAUAACCUGGGGAAACUCAGGCUAAUACCGCAUGAGCCCUAAGGGGGAAAGGAUGGGACCGAAAGGCCAUUCGCGAUAAGAUGAGCCUGCGUUGGAUUAGCUAGUUGGUGGGGUAAAGGCCUACCAAGGCGAGGAUCCAUAGCUGGUCUGAGAGGACGAUCAGCCACACUGGGACUGAGACACGGCCCAGACUCCUACGGGAGGCAGCAGUGAGGAAUAUUGGACAAUGGGCGAGAGCCUGAUCCAGCCAUGCCGCGUGCAGGAAGACGGCCCUAUGGGUUGUAAACUGCUUUUGUACGGGAAGAAACACCCCUCGUGAGGGGGCUUGACGGUACCGUAAGAAUAAGGAUCGGCUAACUCCGUGCCAGCAGCCGCGGU